AGUAAAAUCGAAACCGCCGGAAAAACAACAUCGAAACGCUCGGAGGAAAGGAACGCGAUGUCCUUGCCUCAGUAACAGAAAAAGACAGUCGCUACGGGUCUACGGUCGCGAUCGGUCGAGCAAUCUCGCCGUGUACCGGGUGAUAAAAGUUUCUAUAUUUUUUCUCGCGACGACGAUGAUCCGCGGUUCGCGUUACUACUACUCGCGGGGCCCUGCCGGCAACAAACACAAUAGACAUCGUUUACGACGACGUCUGGACGUCUCCCCAAGCUGGAGACUCCAACGGAACCUGGUUUCCGCACGAUCGCGAUUCAAAAUCACCAAAGGGAACUGUUUCCCAAAAAACCCGGUGUCACGCGAUGAACUGAUCGCUGACGGGCGCCCAACCUUUGUGUACACAUUAUAUCAUCAAACGCGACACACUCACACAUGCCUCAAUCAUACGACUUUAAUAUUCUAAUGCUCCUGUGGAUCCGCUUCAUUAGCUUCAGCUGCCGUUACGGAGAAAUAAAUGCACGUUAGUGCUAAAGCAGGAAGAUAAUUAGCAAUUGAAAGAGAUGAUGUCAUUGACGGUAUGAUUCCUGAAGAAAAAGAUCCUACUGCAGUAGCGGUUAUGAUUCUUCAUCCAGGACGGCUGGUAAAGUUCCAUCCAGAUGAGAUUUACGGGAAGAAAAUCGGAAAGGAAAGUAUUUCAAAAUAAAUGGUUAAGUAUGGUAUAAAUCGACGUAACUGUAUUUAUUCAAUUUAUUGCGAAAUAGUAUAUAAGAACAAAUAGAAGAAAGAAAAAGGGGACUCGAUUUCUUGAAUAUAAACGGAAUUAAACAAACAACAUACAAAAACACGCGUUCUUAACGGACCGAGAAUCGACUAUUGUCGAAUAAACAUGCGGUUUGAAAUAUAAUAUUUCCUUUUCGCAGAACGCUGCGUGAUCUCGAAUUCCCGGACGAUUACGUAAUCGUUUGCUGUCGAAGUUAUAUUGUUACUAGGGGGCGGUGCCCCCUGGCCGCUUCACGGCCCAACCCCCCGAGGCGCUUCGCGCCUAUUUCGUGCGAAUACAUUUCUAA
This is a long non-coding RNA of Megachile rotundata (alfalfa leafcutting bee), 1064 nucleotides long. RefSeq lists it as uncharacterized. NCBI's taxonomy places the organism in Eukaryota, Metazoa, Arthropoda, Insecta, Hymenoptera, Megachilidae. The record is from RefSeq and is a predicted model, not a curated record.